Molecule: ribosomal RNA, 253 nt
Filed under: uncultured bacterium
Lineage: Bacteria
Description: partial 16S ribosomal RNA
Rfam family: Bacterial small subunit ribosomal RNA
Source: RNAcentral
GACGAACCGAGCGAACGUUGUUCGGAAUCACUGGGCUUAAAGGGUGCGUAGGCGGGCUGCCAAGUUUGAGGUGAAAUCCUCCGGCUCAACCGGGGAAGUGCCUUGAAUACUGGCGGUCUGGGGGGAGGUAGGGGCGUGCGGAACUAACGGUGGAGCGGUGAAAUGCGUUGAUAUCGUUAGGAACUCCGGUGGCGAAGGCGGCACGCUAGACCUCUUCUGACGCUGAGGCACGAAAGCCAGGGGAGCGAACGGG